CAGGGUACCCUUUGACCCUCCUUAGUUCAACCAAAAUGAACUAAAGUUUUAAAAUGACACAACUUUUUGAAAAACUAGUUCAUUUGUUUGAACUAAGGAGGGUCAAAGGGUACCCUG
Molecule: non-coding RNA, 117 nt
Organism: Brachypodium distachyon (stiff brome)
Lineage: Eukaryota; Viridiplantae; Streptophyta; Magnoliopsida; Poales; Poaceae
Source: Rfam